Molecule: long non-coding RNA, 1293 nt
Organism: Gadus chalcogrammus (walleye pollock)
Lineage: Eukaryota; Metazoa; Chordata; Actinopteri; Gadiformes; Gadidae
Exons: 3
Source: RefSeq, a predicted model, not a curated record
UUUGUACCGCGAUACUACCCAUCCCGAUACUGAAGUCAAAGGCCGCUCGAGAACGUUCGCACGGGUCUGCAAGGGGAUUAAAUCGGAACAUAAUAUGAUAUUUCGACGUAUUUCGCCCUCAAACUAAGCCUUCGUUUUUUAUUGGACAUUUAACGGACUAUGGUCGCUGGAGAAGCAAUAAUAUUCGUGUUUGUAUGCGCGUAUCCUGGAAAUAUUUGAGUGUUGUUCUUCUUUAGCGCUAGCCGCGCAGGGAGUUCACUCCGAUGUUUUUAUUAAUGAAACAAAUGACGACGUUAACCAAUGGGAACAUCUAGCAUCGGUCGGGAACACCUAAGGGCACUCUUGUAAAAGUCUGAUACUCAAAUUUAAAGUCUGUGGAGCAUCUGACGCAGGAUUCCCUGGACUACUAAAGCAGCAGCAGUCGUUUACUUUCACUGGAUUUUAGUCCGACUCAUUCUCCCUCAGCCAUGGAAUCGAUCCAUCCACCUUCCCCAUCUACUCUGACCAUCUUCCCUGUAUCUUCUGAAGAAAAGCAUCUCCACAGCAUGAUGUUGCCACCACCAUAUUUAACAGUGGGGUUGGUGUGUUCAGGGUGAUAGUGUGCAGUGUUAGUUUUCCGCCACACAUAGCGCUUUGCAUUUAGGCCAGAAAGUUCAACUUUGGUCUCAUCUGACCUUCUUCCACAUGUUUUCUUUAUAACCUAACCCUGCUUAAAACUUCUCCACAACUUUAUCCCUGACCUGUUUGGUGAAUUCCUUGGUCUUCAUGAUGUUGUUGUUCCAGUGUUCUCUAACAAACCCCUGAGGCCUUCACAGAACAGGUGUAUUUAUAUGAGAGUAAAUUACACACAGGUGGCCUCUAUUUACUCUUUAGGUGACUUCUGAAGGCAAUUUAUUAGACAAUGUAUUUAGGGGUAUCAGAGUACAGGGGGACUAUAGCUGCUUGACUAAUUUGGAUUAUAAUGGUUUUCAAUUGAUCCCCAACUGUCUAGUUUCAGUUUCAGUACACCAAAAAAAAAAGGUUGAUUUAAAUCUUGAAGAAGACAAUGUCAAUGAACCCGCUGAGGUCUUUACUAACCGGCCAAGUCUUUUAAUUGAGCUCUGUAGUUAUCUGAUGUGUGCUCUAAAAUGGAGCUCUGUUCUGGUAAUCUGUCUUAUAGUUAUUAUAAUGAUGAUUAGCUCUCUGAUGGAGCUCUGUAGUUAUGGGAUGUGACCUCUAGGAUGGAGCUCUGUGAUGGAUAAAAAGCCUGAAUGAGAACAAGAAGGACAGGUCUUUGCCUAAAGCUCUAGGGUG